Molecule: ribosomal RNA, 128 nt
Organism: Cephalotus follicularis
Lineage: Eukaryota; Viridiplantae; Streptophyta; Magnoliopsida; Oxalidales; Cephalotaceae
Source: Rfam
AAGAGCGACCAUAUCAGCACUAAUGCAUGGGAUUCCAUCAGAACUCCGAAGUUAAGCAUUCUUGAGCAAGAAUAGUUCUAAGAUGGACUUGACUUAUGACUUUCACAAAUUCAGGCUAGUGGCUUGAC